UUUCAAAGGAGCACAGAAUGAAAUCUAAGUUACAUACUGUUCUAAGGUGAUGGUGGGUAGAUGUCCACUGAUGGAAUUGAAUGGGAACACCUGAACCAGGUGUUCUGGUUUCAUUUCAAAAACUUCUGUUGCAUUCAUACAUAGGAGAAGUUGGCAUACUUAUUUCUUCCAUUUUAUAUCACUUAGGGUAUCAUCCCAUGUAACCUAAAGAUGAAAAGUGUAAUUCUUGGUACUUCAAUUUGGUAAUAUUUUUGUGAGUUUUCAGUAAAUAGUGAUUGUGCUUUUGUGUCUAAGGAGCCAUUUAUUUGCCUUGUAUAUGUUAACAGAUAUAAGCCAAUAAGAGGAGUUAUUUAGCUAGAUUCUUACAAUCUGUGGGUCUAAUUUUUAAAAUCUUUGUCUUGUUUGAUAUUCAUUUUUGUUUAUCUCUAUUAACUAAAUCUUUAUGUUUUGAGGAUGUACUUUUUAGGGGAAGGGGUUCUGAUUCUUGUCGUUCUGAGUAUGCUAAGAACAAAUUUACAUGUACAAUAGUUGACAGUCGAUCCACAGGUCUUCUGAUUUCUUUAACCAGCCAAUUCUUCUCUUAAACCUUCGCCUAUACAUUUCUUCAAGGAAGAAUGUAAAUGUAUGUAAUCUGACUUCAAAUUAGCGUAAUGAUUUGGAAAGAGAGAAAAAUAGGACAAAAUAUACUUUCAACCUCCACCAGGGGGACCUAUUGCUGCAACUAAAGAAUUAAAUCUGAGGAAGAACAUGCAUUUCACAUGACAGAUACAUGAUAUUAAUUUUUAUUUUUUUUGAAGCAUUUUAAAAGCCUCUGUAUUCCAUAUAAGUAUUUAUUAUAAGUUUAAAUUAAAAUAUAAGAACAGAGAAAUAAGAUACUAGGUUUUCUUGAUUUGUGGACAAACUUUUUUUUAGUAAAUCUAAAGAUGAAAAUAUAGAUUCAGUCUUUAUUUGAGAAUAAUUUGUAUUUAAAAUAUGUAUAGGAUGACCUACAUAAAACAGAAAAAAAUCUUUUUCACAAAACACUUUUUUUUUUUUUUUGGUCUUUUUUCCUUUUUUCCUUGGGCCGCUUUUGUGGCAUAUGGAGAUUCCCAGGCUAGGGGUCUGAUCAGAGCCGUAGCCACCGACCUAUGCCAGAACCAUGGCAAUGCGGGAUCCAAGCCACGUCUGCAACCUACACCACAGCUCACGGCAACGCUGGAUCCUUAACCCGCUGAGCAAGGCCAGGGAUCAAAACUGCAACCUCAUGGUUCCUAGUCGGAUUUGUUAACCACUGUGCCACGACGGGAACUCCACAAAACACAUUUCUGAGUUUUGCCAAUUCAAUAUAUUUUAUUCCCUACUCUACUGGCUUCUGUCUGAGAUUUAAAGGCUUAUAGAUUUUACGAAACAUUUUCACAUGUACUAUAGUAUUUAUAACUAUAAAAUAGGUAAGUUCUGUAACUACAAAAUUGUUGAAUCUUUUUGCCUCAGUUCUAGUUGUGAGGGCAUUCUCUUUUGUGUCUUUAGAUUAUACAUGCUUUCUUAGAGUGUCAGGUACUAUUUUUGUUUAUACUUUGUAUCUCUUAAUAUUCCGCAAUUUUUUAUGGGUUAAGUAAUUCUGUUUCUAUAUUCUAGAUGUUUUAACCUGGCUCAUGUUACUUACCACUUUCCUGAUAUUAUUGAUUAGAAGUAAUUUAUAUUAGUGGUUCUUAGAGGUGAACAGUUUGCAAAUUCUGUGGAACAGAUAUUACUGUCUCUAGUUUUCAGAUGAGGAAAUUGAGGCUAAGAAUGAUUACAUUACCUAACUAAUGUAAUGUACUCUGCCUUCUGAUUCUAAGCCCAAUAUUUUCUCUGCAAUACCCAUGGUUGAUUUAACGUAUCCCAGAUGUGGACUAACUAUUUUUCCAAACAUAUUUCCUCAAUCUAGACUAGUCAACUCAAAAUUUCAGUUAAUAUAAUGUACCUUCUGACCAUAUGUUCUUCUGUUGGAGAAAUGCCUUGCUAUAGAUAACUUCUCUUGUCAUUAGAAAAUACCAACAUGUGAUGUUUUAGAUAAAGCAAGAGAUAUUUUUUGUAUACUAUCAUAAUACAUUUGGCUUAACAGUGUAGUCAUGAUGCCUUUGAAUUUUUGUUUACACACACACACACACACACACACACACGCAAACACAGAGUUUUCCUCCCCAAAGAAAAGUUUUAACACUGCAUUAUGAAGAAUUGAAAGCAACUCAAGCAAAAUGAAAUGAAAACGUGUCUCAGAUAUAUGAGACACGUACAAAGAGAAAUGACAAGGUACACUGAUACACUCGUACAAAGAGAAAUGACAAGGUACACUGAUACACUAUUUUCACUUAUUCAUUUAUUUUUGUAAUGCACUCUGUUGGGGGAGUGUAAAUAAACAGACAUUUUUCCACUGCUGGGAUUAAAAACUGGUGCAACCUCCAUGGAGGGCAGUUGAUAAUGUCUAACAACAUUAUAAAUGAUAGACAUCACUUGGCUAAGAAACUUGUUUUUUGGAAUUUAGCUCAUGGAUAUACUUGUGCACAUGCAAAAUUAUAUGUGUUUAAGAUUAUUAAUAGGUUUAUUAUAGUAAAAAUUGAAAAUAGAUGUCCCUUGAUAGGUUGAUUGAAUAGAAUACUAUAUAGCUGUUAAAAAGAAUGUGACCAAGCUUUACAGUGAUAUGCAAGCGCUUUAAGCAAUAUAUAAUGAAAACUUCAAGGUACCGAACAGUCUUAGCUAACUUUUCUGUAAAAAUCAGUAAGUGUAUAUAUAUACACAUAUAUAUAUGUAAAAUAUUUAUAAACUCUUGGAGGAUACACAAAGGAAUAAUACAAAUGAUUGCUUGGUUGGGAUUAGAGACAAAAGAGGCAACUGGGUAGCUGAGAGAUGAGUUAAAAAGACAUUUUCUGUAGAACCAUGAGACUGUUCUACCUAUUUUUUAAAAUGUGUAUGUUUGAAAGAGAAAAAAAGAAUAUGUAAGUCAGAUUAAGUAGAUGCAUAUAUACUUUUAUUUUCUAAAAUGACAGUAAAGGAGUAUUUUUAAAAAGGCAUAUACCCACAAGGACAGAGAAAAUAGAAGAGGAAGACAAAUUUCUGGAAGCUGGAAAGCAGAUGAAUGAAUGGUAAUGAAUCAGCAGUCCAAGAAAGCCAUAUUCUUUGCUGACAGUGGGAAAAACAAACUUUCACGUUGUAGGAUAUUCUAAAGGCUCAGGAAUUGGCUUCUCCAUUUACCUCUGGAAAUGAGAUUAUAGGUAGGGCUAAAAAUAGGAAAAGCGUUGAAAAUGUCUUUAAGCAGUUAAAUCCCAAUUGCACAGCCAGGUAUAUUCCCUUCCCCAAUCUUCAGACUUCAGUGUCUGGAAUGGGUUAAAACACACACACACACACACACACACACACACACAAAAGAUGUACCAGGAAUGGGUUAAAACACACACACACACACAAAAGAUGUACCAGGAAUGGGUUAAAACACACACACACACACACACACACACACACACACACACACACAAAAGAUGUACCAGGAAUGGGUUAAAACACACACACACACACACACACACACACACACACACACACACACACACACUAAAGAUGUACCCCGAAGAGGUAGGAGCUGGUAAGGAACUUGCUGAUAACAAAGUGAUUAAUUGAUCAUUUGCUUACUGAAUACCAAGACCUUUCCUCUCAUCUCUCUCUUUCCUCAUUUGGUGUCCAGAGUGUUGACAAUCCAGUCUAGGCUGAAAAUGCUUUUUUUAUGAAAUCUGACUAUUCAGGAGGAAAGACAUUGGGGAAUCCAGUGAAAUGACCAAACACUAUACAGUAAAGCUCAGGUGACUAGUCCUAGCAUGAACUUAGAGUUUUCAAGCAACUUUUUAGUAUCUCAUUCUUAAGUAUGAAAAACCAAACAUCCCUAAUUAACUCAGGAAAGCUUUUAAUAUGAACAAUGAAGACUGUAGUGGAUGCUGUAUUGCACUGUUCAGAUUGGACUUACAAGGACUGAAGCAUUCCUUCCUCCAGCUGCUGAUAAUGUUGACUACUGAGUGGCUGAGAAGUGUUACUUUGCCCAUGGUUGCAUUCUGUCCUCAGAGCAGCCAACAUCCAGUCUGUUUGAGAUGUAGGGUGUGAACUGGCAUCACAAAGACCUGGUUCCCUUUCCUCCACUGAGAAUGAAAAAGAAACAACUCUAAAGGACCAUCCAAGUUUCAGAGCUCCCUGUGGGAUUGGCUGUUGAAACUAUCACAAGUCAUCUUCUCAAUGGCCCAAUCCUGCCUUCCUUAUUUGCUUUAAUAUUUUGUUCCUGAAGACAUUCCCCAAAUAACCUUCUCUAAAUAUCGAGUUUAGGGGAACCCUAUCUACAACAGAAUCCAAAACAAAUAAAUAGAAAAAUGUGGGAAUAAAAAGAUUAAUAACCUCAGAUAAAUAUGAGAAGACAUUACAUCUAUGAUAAAAAAGCAAGACCACAGAAGAAAAUUUGAAAGAAUGUAAAAGAGCUUCUGAAAGUUAAAAAAAUAUAUGAUGGCAAAAAUGAAAAACUCAAUAGAUAAGUUGAAAGAUAAAGUUUGGGAAAUCUCAAAAUAGAGCAAAAGGAAGAGGAAAGAACAAGAUGUUCUGAAGGUCAAUCUAAAUAUCUGGCAUCUGAAUAAAAAAUGUUUCAGAAAAAAACAGCUGAGGAAAUGGGUGUCAUGGGGGAAUAAGGGGAAAGCAAUCAUCAGCAAAAUAAUAUUCUUAGAUUUUAGGGUAUGAGUUUCCAGGUUGAGUGCUUGGCUCAAUUAUAAAGAUAGGGUACCUCAGCAAAAUUUCAGAUCACUGUGGGACAAAAAGAAGAUUCUGUAAAUUUCCAGAGAGAAUAGAUAGGUCACAUACAAAGUAAUAUGAAUCAGGAUGAUUUCUUAGCACACUGGAAGUGGAAAAAUUACUUCCAAGCUAAUAUUCCAUAUCCAACCAAACUAUUAAUUGUGAGAUGGAAUAAAGACAUUUGGAAACCUGCAAGUUCUCUUAUUUACCUCCCAUUUGUCUUUUUUGGAACUCCUGGAAGAUAUACUCCCCAAAAUGAAAUCUUUGUUUAAUAAACUUCAAGAUGUAGUAUCCAUGAAAGAACAAUGCAAAGGGAAAGCAAAAUAAUGACAAUGGUUAAGGGAAAUAUCAAGAUGUUGACUGUGUCCUAGGCUUCAGAGCAUAAACCAUCCAGAUUGGAGCAAGUCUGAAAGCACUGGUAGAAAUUUCCAAGAUGAAAUCAUACCUUACAAUGAAUAAAAGAUUGAGAAGAGAUUUAAUAAUUUUCAGAGUGUGGAAUUAAAUUGGUGAAAACUACACUGAAAACUAAGCAAAUGUAAAAACAAGAUUGUUACCAACUUCAGGAAAAUGAAAACUUAUUCAAGAAAUAAAAAGUAGGAGUUUAGUAGGUUAAGAAUCUAGUAUCUGUGAGGAUGUGGGUUCCAUCCCUGGCCUGGCUCAGCAGGUUAAGCAUCCAGUGUUGCUCUGAGCUGCGGUGUAGGUCGCAGAUGUGGCUUGGGUUCUCUGUUGCCGUGGCUGUGGCUUAGGCAGGCAGCUGUAACUCUGAUUCGACCCCUAGCCUGGG
RNAcentral lists this long non-coding RNA (5557 nucleotides) under Sus scrofa (pig). Its description in RNAcentral is "lncRNA (ENSSSCG00000053092.1)". Lineage: Eukaryota; Metazoa; Chordata; Mammalia; Artiodactyla; Suidae. The record is from RNAcentral.